AUUGAACGCUGGCGGCAUGCCUUACACAUGCAAGUCGAACGGUAACAGGUCUUCGGAUGCUGACGAGUGGCGAACGGGUGAGUAAUGCAUCGGAACGUGCCUAGUAGUGGGGGAUAACUACUCGAAAGAGUGGCUAAUACCGCAUGAGAUCUACGGAUGAAAGCAGGGGAUCGCAAGACCUUGUGCUACUAGAGCGGCCGAUGGCAGAUUGGGUAGUUGGUGGGAUAAAAGCUUACCAAGCCGACGAUCUGUAGCUGGUCUGAGAGGACGAUCAGCCACACUGGGACUGAGACACGGCCCAGACUCCUACGGGAGGCAGCAGUGGGGAAUUUUGGACAAUGGGCGAAAGCCUGAUCCAGCAAUGCCGUGUGCAGGAUGAAGGCCUUCGGGUUGUAAACUGCUUUUGUACGGAACGAAAAGCCCCGGGUUAAUACCCUGGGGUCAUGACGGUACCGUAAGAAUAAGCACCGGCUAACUACGUGCCUGCAGCCGCGGUAA
This 498-nucleotide ribosomal RNA is filed under the name uncultured bacterium. RNAcentral describes it as "partial 16S ribosomal RNA". It matches the Rfam family "Bacterial small subunit ribosomal RNA", at positions 30 to 523 of the family's 1533-position model. The record is from RNAcentral.